UGAGGAAUAUUGCGCAAUGGGGGCAACCCUGACGCAGCGACGCCGCGUGAGUGAGGAAGGCCUUCGGGUCGUAAAGCUCUGUCAAAGGGAAAGAAGUGCAUGGUGGCUAAUACCUGCCAUGUUUGACGGUACCCUUAAAGGAAGCACCGGCUAACUCCGUGCCAGCAGCAGCGGUAAGACGGCGGGUGCAAGCGUUGUUCGGAAUCACUGGGCGUAAAGGGCGCGUAGGCGGUUGUAUAAGUCAGAUGUGAAAGCCCACGGCUUAACUGGGGAAGUGCAUUUGAAACUGUCAGACUUGAGUAUCAGAGGGGAAAGUGGAAUUCCCGGUGUAGAGGUGAAAUGCGUAGAUAUUAGGAGGAACACCAGUGGCGAAGGCGACUUUCUGGACUGUACCUGACGCUGAGGCGCGAAAGCGUGGGGAGCGAACA
This 428-nucleotide ribosomal RNA is filed under the name uncultured prokaryote. Its description in RNAcentral is "bacterial SSU rRNA". It matches the Rfam family "Bacterial small subunit ribosomal RNA", at positions 355 to 774 of the family's 1533-position model. The record is from RNAcentral.